CUUAGUUAGCAGCUCAUGGGGACUGGUGAAUACUUGCUAGGCAGCAUAUCCCAUUGAGCAGCUCUCAGUGGGACCGGGGAACUACAACCCGAUACUAUUGAACUUAAGAGCCUGAAACCAAACGGGGAUGCUGAUACCGCGCAGCGUGCUGGGCAAGUCAACAGGGAGGAGGAAAAGAAAGAGCAACAGGAGUGGUGCGCUCAGGCGUUGGAUCUCGAGUGACGGAGAAGCACGUGACGUCUCCUCACUGUUACGCGCCCGCCCGCAGUGCACCAUGGGAAGGUGAGGGUUCGUCGAAGAGGCCGCCAUUUUGUGUCUGUCUGAGGCGGGAGCGCGGAGUUGUGGUCGGUCGUGGUGAAGCUUCCAUAGUUUCCGUAUCAGAGCCGUCGUCAUGGGUCGGAAGAAGAAGAAGCAGUUGAAGCCUUGGUGCUGGUAUUGUAACAGGGAUUUUGAUGAUGAGAAAAUUCUUAUUCAGCACCAAAAAGCAAAGCACUUUAAAUGUCAUAUAUGUCAUAAGAAACUGUAUACAGGGCCUGGUUUAGCCAUACACUGCAUGCAGGUACAUAAAGAAACAAUAGAUGCUGUUCCAAAUGCUAUACCUGGAAGAACUGACAUUGAACUGGAAAUCUAUGGUAUGGAAGGCAUUCCAGAAAAAGACAUGGAUGAAAGGAGAAGAUUGCUUGAACAGAAAACUCAAGCAGAAAGCCAGAAAAAGAAACAGCAAGAUGAUUCUGAUGAAUACGAUGAUGAUGAGUCUUCAGCUUCAACCUCAUUUCAAGCACAGCCUGUGCAACCCCAGCAGGGAUAUAUACCACCAAUGGCACAGCCAGGUUUACCUCCUGUGCCAGGUGCACCAGGAAUACCUCCAGGUAUACCACCAUUAAUGGCAGGUGUUCCACCAAUGAUGCCAGGAAUGCCUCCAGUGAUGCCUGGAAUGCCACCUGGGAUGAUGCCUAUGGGCGGAAUGAUGCCUCCAGGGCCAGGAAUCCCACCUCUAAUGCCUGGUAUGCCACCAGGUAGGUCAGGGGUGAUGAAUCCAUACUGUGGUAUGCCACCACCUGUUGGUCCCCGCCCAGGUUUGCCUCCCAUGACACAAGCACAACCUGCAACUGCUCAAGGUGUUCUUAAUAGACCUCCAGCUCCUGUUGUUGCAGCACCGAACCCUCAACCUCCAGUUACUAAACCACUGUUCCCCAGUGCAGGACAGAUGGGGACACCUGUCACAAGCUCAAGUACAACUUCAUCCAAUUCAGAACUGUCAGCACCUUCUAAAGCUCUGUUUCCUAGCACAGCACAAGCUCAAGCAACUGUUCCAGGGCCAGUUGGUACAGAUUUCAAACCUUUGAAUAAUACACCUGCAACUACUACAGAACCCCCAAAACCUACAUUCCCUGCUUACACACAGUCUACAGCUUCAACCACUAGUACAACAAAUAGUACUGCUGCUAAACCAGCUACUUCUAUAACAAGUAAGCCUGCUACCCUUACAACAACCAGUGCAACCAGUAAGUUGAUCCAUCCAGAUGAGGAUAUAUCACUGGAAGAAAGAAGGGCACAGUUGCCUAAAUAUCAACGUAAUCUUCCUCGACCAGGGCAGGCAUCCAUGGGCAAUCCACCAGUUGGACCAAUUGGAGGUAUGAUGCCACCACAGCCAGGAAUUCCUCCCCAACAACAAGGAAUGAGACCUCCAAUUCCACCUCAUGGUCAGUAUGGUGGUCAUCACCAGGGCAUGCCAGGAUACCUUCCUGGUGCAAUGCCUCCAUAUGGUCAAGGGCCUCCAAUGGUGCCUCCUUACCAAGGUGGACCUCCUAGACCGCCAAUGGGAAUGAGACCUCCUGUAAUGUCGCAAGGUGGCCGCUACUGAUGCUACUGCAAACGCGCUAAUAGGUUUUUAGAAGUGAAGUAUAGUAAAUAUGGUUCGUUAAAUUGUGAAGGCGCUGGAAUUACAUGAACAUACCAUCUUAAAGCCCUGCCAUAGGACAGGCUGAGGCAGAGUCUCAGUGUUGCCCUGUUCAGUCUGAGGCAAGUGGGAUUUAUUUUAUUCAUUCUAGGGGCUUUCACAGCUUUAUAGCUGUUGGAUAUUUAUGUCCCCAAACUUGCAGCAAGUUUGGUGAAGGCUCCUAUAUUUAAUUUAAUUUAGGAUUUUUAUAAUCUUUCAAUGGGCUCUAUAUUAAUAUUGAUAUUCUUUGCCUUUGCUGCUUUCAGUUUACUGUGGUUAGUGGUCAAAUCUUAAAAUGAGCCAAACACUCCCUGUUCAACCAAAUACUAUUACUUUUAUUUCCUCCUCCUGAAAUUUUGUGUUUAGUAACGAAACAGUGAAAUGACAGGUGUAUGUCAUCAUUUCAUAGACUAAGAUAUUCAGGAGUUCAGUUGCCCAUCUUUAGUAUUGUUGAGAAAACAUAUUUGUUACAAAUAGUUUCUCAAUUGAUAAAGUAAACAACUCUUAGUUGGUCAGUAACUGCUUAACCUAAAUUUUACUAAUAUAGGACCAUUUAAUAUCCAACAUUUUGUUGAAUCAUAAAAGUAAAUAUUAAUGUAGAGCCUACAGAGUGGAGAAAAAUGCAGAUAUGAGUUGGUAAGGUGGAAGAGUGGGUUAAAUGUUUAGUUGGAGACAUGACCUCAUCAGCUUGUAUAUAGGUAAAUAAUUUGCAAUGUUUAUAUGCACUGAAAUAUUAAACAAACACAGAUACUUGCAGAUGUUUCGUGUGAUCUGAAUGUUCUGUUUGCAAAGUUCCUACUGGGUUCAUAUCAAAAUACAAAUAUGUUGAUUAAGAUUUCCAAGCAAACUUAAGAACCUAUUUUGGUUGGCAGCAGCAUGCUUGAAACAUAUCAAGGAAAUGAGCAUACAGCAUCUGCACAAAAACCCAGAUUUCCUGGGUGAUACUCUCACAGAACCUCAAACUGCUUCUUAAAUGCCACUGAAUUCUUAAAAGUUUGGGGAUUUGGCAUGAGAGCUCUUCAAAAGAGAACUUGAGAAACAUGCCAUGGGUUGUAUGGCUGCUGAGGUGCUUGGUGGCCACAGACUCCUUCAGCAAACCAAAGGAAAGUUAUGCUUAUACAAGGAGCCCUUCUGGAAAUAGAAAGGGUCAUUGCAUGAGUGCAACUUCCUUCAGUUUACUGAAAGAGCUUGUGACACAAUGCUAUGUGCACACCAGUGAUAGUUACCUCUUAUGUGACCUCACCCAAUCCUCACACUGCUUUUCCAGCAUCAAGUAUUGGUUACCCUUCUGUGGCUCCCAGUAGCUUCCAACUCUAAACUGUGUUUUCAUUGUUGCGGUUUUAAAAUACUUACAAUUACUGCUGCCAUAAUACUGUGAUGGCACAAUCUUCUUCCUGCCACUUCUUCAUACAUGCAGAACCCUCUACAGGCUUCUUGUUUUCUCCAGAAAUUGCUGUUGAAAUUCUAACUAAUGCUUGGAAAAAUCAGUGUGAUUACUGCCUCUCUGAACACUAAUUGUAAUCAAAUACUAUACUAUUGUAAUCAAGAAUACUAUUCAGUGUAUUCUUGGCGUUGUGUUUGACACAUGACCCUUGACAAUUAAUGGUGAAGAUGGACUCAACACUGCAAGAUGCAGCAAAACUAAUCAGCAUUUCUUCUACACUUUUAAUGUUCUUGAAAGACCUGCUUCAUUCAAUAUGUUUGGCUGAUUUACUGAACUAUACAUUGUUACUGAAGACUUGAAAUAGAAGGGAUGUACUUGUUGCUCCUGAUACAUUUUAAUAUCCUAGAGAAAAUAGCUAGUGUUUAGAACGUCUUUGCUAUCGUCGCUCAUUAUGUAAUAAAAUUGAUAAAGAAAUGAGUUCCUUGAUCCAGAUGCAUGAUUUUAGACAGUCUUAUCACUUGAUGCAUUGGGCGGGGGGAUGGGAUGUCUUUAGGAUUGAGUUUCCUCCUUUUGAUCCACAUUAAGUGCGGUACUGAACACAACUAGGCCUAUCACAUUCUAAACAGUGCUAAUUCAUGACUGAUGAGAACUGAGACAUACAGGUGGCCCUUGUUCGCAGCAGUUCCAUUCUUGCCUAUAACUGUGAGAAUGGAAACCACAAAUAAAGGAACCACAUGUGUCUGGGAAUCUAGGGGUCAGGUUCCUACACACACACAGCCCAAAAAGAGGGAGGGGAGAAAUAAUAGUAGAAAUGAACUGUACAUCUCUCUCCAGGGCUCCAGAAAUGCCCCCCCAAAUCAGCCAAAUUUUUGAUGUAUAUUUGCCCCCGAAAAUUUUUUUUCAUAAAAAAAACAAAGGGGCCCAGAAUGGCUCUCUGUUCUAAAAUGGUGGCCAGAAGUCAUUUCUGGCCACUCUGCAACUGCAAAUAGGUGGGUUUUGGCCUGUUUUUGUACCAUGGAUAAAGAAGUUGGGUCUUUAUGACCCAAGAGCCAACUUUGUUUCUAUUUAUUUAUUUUUGAUUUGAUUUAUAAUUACAAUACAACUCCAAAGUGUGGUGUUUGGCAUCCAUCUGUGAAGAAGAUCUAAAUAUUUUAUUCCUUUCUUCUAGGUUUUAGUUCUCUCCCUCCUCCUGGACAUUAUAUUAAUUUUCUUCUAAACGAUUUAUCAGUAGGACUGAGCCAUAAUGAAUUCAGUUAUACUAAUCCUGUGGCAAAUAACAGUGUGAAGACUGUGCAGCUUUCAAAAAAUAGCACCCCAGGUGUGUGUGUUUAGGUCUCAUUAAUUCUGCUCUCUGAAAUGAGAUGCACUGCUAAUUCUGAGUUAUUAAAAAAGCAACCUUAGAAUUGAGAUUUCGGUCAUAAUCCAGCAAGGUGCAUGUUUUGAGUAUGCCCCCAAAUUUUAGACUAUUUCUGCCUUCACAGAAUCUCAUGUCCACAUUCUCAUGUUGAAAAAGCAGUUUCUUCAGAGGUUUGGUGCAUUAGCACUUUAAAUGGAUAUUGCUCUCAUGCACACAGAUUUCCCCCACCCCUCUUCCCUUUAAAAUGCUCUUGUGCCAAAUUGUCAGAUUGAUGUUUCAAUAAAAGCAUUUAAGCAACAGUUUGAGAGUUCUGUGACAGCUGGGGAAAGGAAACAAUUAGACUCUUAUGUGUGCACAAAUGCUGCACACCUCUUUGGAUCAGAGCCUUUACCUUCAAGUCCCUGACUUUCUGAAGUUGUUUGCCACAGUUGAUGGAGUUUUUAUUAAUUUCAAAAAGAGAUUAAAAUCUUUCAUUGUGUCUCCUUUGUUCAUCUCUGGGCUGCUACUGUUAAUAGUUAAACUUUGUGUGAAACUUAUUCAUGGGGCUUUCCCCAUAUGAAUCUGAAGAAGAUAAUUUAAAAAAAAAAGCCUAAUAACUAGACCAAUUGGUAACAUAAGCAUACUUUCCAUUAAUUUUACUAAAGUGAAGCUGUUCACUAAGCCAACAGCUUGAAUGAUGUAAUGUGGCUUUAGUUUUGGCCAUUGUGACUGUUUUGUCAGUAGAAUUCUCUUUAAAAUUACAAGGACCUGUGUCUUCUGGUGUGUAUGUGUUGUGUUAAAUAAAAGUACACAAUAUCUUUGCAGACGAAAAGCAAUUUUUUUUUAUAAUAUACACUUUUACCGACAUUACUCAUUGAAUACUGUGCCUUGUAGCAAACACUGUUUGACUUGCUGAAUAUUAUGUUGAUAGGUUUCAGAGCUCUUUCAGGUGAUACACAGUCACCUUUGUCAGCUAUUAAAAAUGCGUCCAAGUGUAAAUGGAAUUAAGGGAAGUAGCUAGGAACAGGGGAAAAUACAUCUUUUCUAUUUAUAUAUGAAAUUUUGUGCUACUUUUAAGCUUUAAGAAGUUUUAAGUUUGGGGUAUGUCCUGUUGAAAUUUCAGACUGAUUCUUAUGCUUUUGGUUUUUUAUUUGCAUCAUUUUACCUUUCUUCUCUUAUCUUAAAAGACCCAUGCUGAAAUGGAAAACAGUCUUCAACAUAUAUUCUCAAUUCAGUUAUUUAGGCCAGGAAAAACUGGAGUCAAACACUGUCCCCUUAACUGGUUUGGAUGUUUCUCUGUUCAGGCAACAAAUACUUAAAAUGGGAAAUUAUGCAUUGUUCAACUAGUUGGUGGAGACUGGAAGAAGGACUAAGCUACUACAUGAUUAUAACUUUGUAACAAAAACAUUGAGGAUAAUCUAGUGUGGUUGCAGACCACAAGUGUAGUUAUCUUAAUUCAAAUUGAAUAUGAAGGCAGUAAAAUACCUUUCCUGAGUCUUGGCUUUGUCCUUAACAUAAUAGAUUCUGAAAAUCUGGAGUAAUAAGUAUAAAAUUGAAUCUCAAAAGUAACCAACUCAGCUGUUCAAUCCAGGCUUCAAAUCCAGGUAGUAAACCCUAUUUUUAAUCUUCCAUUCUACUACAGUCAGCAUUUUUUGCUUUUCCAGGUUCUGUUGUGGAAGUGAUGUGAGAACACAACGCUAAUUAAAUUGUCACUAAUACUCUUAAGAGUACCACUUUUUUAUUACUUGCACCUUGACCAUCAGAUUGGUUCAACCAAGUAUAUUUAAUAUGUAUUGGAAUUCAUUUUUACAGAAUUCUUAUUGGUUAAUUUUUUCCCAUAUGAGUGCAAGAACUAGGAAUGUUUGGUUUUUUGAAUUUAAAAGAAUUUUUAUGAAUUAAGCUCCUUUUUGGUUUAAUAUAAUUUGUGUUUUUGUUGACUAGCAGCAGAAUUUCAGCAUUUGCUACUUACUGGUAGAGAAGAAAAAUCCCACAGCACUGCCAGUACAGGUUAGUUUAAUCUGUAAGUACUCGAUGUGUGUGUUAAAAAUCCUGUACUGUACUACAAAUACCACUCUAGUACAUGAGGAUGGCGCGUUCAGUAAUCUGAAGAGGGUCACUUUUUCUAUAUCUAAAGGUAAUAAAUACAUAACAAGUUUGGGAUUAGUAUAGACAUUGUAGUCAGUUUUAUUAUUAUUAUUAUUAUUAUUAUUAUUAUUAUUAUUAUUAUUAUUAUUACUACUACUACUACUACUAUUUUAUUUUUAACAUUUAUAGCCCGCUCUUCCUCCAAGGAGCCCAGAGCGGUAUACUACAUACUUGAGUUUCUCUUUCACAACAACCCUGUGAAGUAGGUUAGGCUGAGAGAGAAGUGACUGGCCCAGAGUCACCCAGCUCGUUUCAUGGCUGAAUGGGGAUUUGAACUCGAGUCUCCCCGGUCCUAGUCCAGCACUCUUACCACUACAAUACUACAAUAGCAAUGCUAUUAUUUUAAGGGGGAGAUGGUUCAGAUAAGGUUGUGGAAAACAUAACUGGCAUUUGUGGGGUACAUGGAUAUUUAGUCCAGUAACAAAGAAAGAAUAAUGAAAUAUUCUGAUUUUUCUCCUUAGCAGUUAUUUUUACAAACACCCACCAGCACAAUCUAUUCAACUGAUGAGCAAACCUUUGCUAUGAUGGGCAUUGAUAAGAAAUGCUAUACCUCUGAAACCCUUGGCUUUUGAAUAUCAACACUUCGAAAUGUAGGCUAUUCUCUUAGGUAGUCUCUUCUUCUUUUUAACUGAAUUCACUGUUUACUUAGAUGAUUUUAUUUAUUUUAAAUAAUAAGAAAAAUAAGUAGAUGAUGCAUUUCUGUAGUGCUGCCCUUUUGCUUAAACUGGUGGUUUGCACAAAAAUGUAGUUGCAUCUCAUUAGAAUUGCAUGCUUCUGUAUCUUUAAUUUUCAGUUGCUUUGUUUAACUAACUUGUAUAACAUUUUUGAAAAUGCUUAUAAAAAUUUAUUCUUUAAAAAGCAACCUAAAGCUGUUGGCAGUCUUUUGAACAUUUUAAGCGAAGGAAAUUGUAUACUGACCUCAAGCAUUGAAAUAUGAGCUGUCAAUUCUGUCUGAGAUAACUGCCAUGUCUAUCCCAUUACUAAGUUCAACUGAGAACCCCCAUGGUACAUGUGUGUGCCAUGUUCUGACAGGAAGGCUGUGCAUAGAGAUGUUCUUAGUACUUGUGCCACAUUUAUGGAACGGCUUUCCUUAGAAUCGCAAAAUCUCUGCUUGAGCAGCUUUAGGAUGCAUCUUAAGACCUUCCUAAUUUGAGAUGGCUUUGUGGGUUUAGAUUUAAACUGGUAGAGGGUUAGGAUUCUCUUUUGUUGUUGUUGGAUUGAUUUUUAUUCUGUGUUGUUAGAUGGUCAAAUAUAGUUAUAUUUGGACUUCCAGGAGUCCUUGGCUGGGAUAGCAACAACUUAACAAAGUGAACUUCUAUCAGCAAUAUGAGAGACUAAAUCUUUUGGCAAGUGCCUACAGAUCUUCAGAUGAGAGAGCUAUAUAAGGCUAAUUAAAAUAUUUCUCAAAACUGAUCUAAAUUCUAGUCACUGUUCAUAGUAAAUAUCCAUCUGUAUAACUCUUCCAUUUUUAGUAAUCUGAUACAGUGUAGGCUGCCUUUCAGAAUCGUGUGUAUGGCAGUUCCUAGUUCUUCUACUGUUUCACCAAGUGUCUAGUGAUCGGUGUUUAGUACUUCAUAAGAAUUAUAGUCCUAAUAACCUGCAACAAAUCUGGAGACAGUUCAGCUUUUGGGGGGGUUUAGCUCUUUUUAUAACUGCACAGCAGUUGUAUCUGUUCAGUUAUCGGCAUUAAGCAAUUAGUCACUUUACUUCAUUUGAUCUAAGCAUCUUGUUAAAAAGGUUGAGUUGUCCAAGAUUAACUUUGUUGCCACCUGCAAAGGAAGCUAUGAACAUUAAAAACUAGCCAUUCAUUUAAGAUAGAUAUUUUCUUUAAUAUAAUCCAUCUUAUUCAAUGUGAAUAUACCACCCCAUCCUGCCCACCAAGAAAAGCAUGUCUCGCUGAGCAACUAUGACUAUUUGAAGGUAGCAUUCUGCUUUUCUUGUCUAAACUCCUAACUUUUCUGUCUUACCAAGGGUUUAUGGUACAUUUGAAUGCAUGUAUGAAUGAACUGAGAUCUUAAACUACAUGGGCAUCUAAUUGUAUGGUUAUUCCCUUGUGUGAAGCAGUACCCACAUGGUUCAGCUAUACCAGGGAAAACCUAAUUCUUGGACUGGGGUGCUGCUUCACACAUUCCCAGAACUGCACAAUUUAGGAUCCUGGAAGUAACAGUGCUGCCAGGUCUCCAUUUAUAGUAACCUUUUACUGUUUAGGAAAAUAUAAAUGGAAAUCAGUGGUAUUACAGCAGAGUUAGUGCUCUCUAGACACUGCUUCUACUAGGUAUAAUUGGAUUAACCAGAGCUGAGUUUACUUAAUUGAUCUUGCAUAAUAAACUUGUCUUUUCUGGAAGGACACACACUAAAGUGAGGAUAAUGGAUUGCCUCUGUUUUUGUAAGCAGCUCAAUGUGGUAUGGAGCAGUUGGCUUUUGUCUUGCUUUUUACUGCAUAGCUGCCUUGCAGUGAACUGUGACCCACUAAUGAAGCAUAUUGUCGGUUCUAUGUACUAUGAUGGACCCUGUGAUUUUACUCUGAUCAUAUGAAUACAGCUUACAUAGCCUUGCAGAUGCCAGCAGUACCAGAAAACAAGAGAACACGUUUCAGGCUUGGCAAAUUGGUAAGUAUCUGGUCUUUGCAGUGCUUCUUGCCCGUAAAGAUCAAUGUUUCUAGUUUCACUCAUGUAGCAUUUUACUGAUAAUGUUGGGGACCCAGAGACACAGCUUGUUUCUAUAUUCUGUAUGUUCGUUUAUGAAGAGCAUUCUGAAAUGUAUGCUUGCAUAAAGCUGUGUAUCUUCCAUUCAUUAAAUUUCAAGUCAUUUUGAA
RNA transcript from Hemicordylus capensis (graceful crag lizard), 9619 nucleotides. It is a transcript of the gene named zinc finger protein 207, with no coding region annotated. Lineage: Eukaryota; Metazoa; Chordata; Lepidosauria; Squamata; Cordylidae. The record is from RefSeq and is a predicted model, not a curated record. The transcript has 13 exons.